ACCUAAUAAGCUUUGAUAUCUGGGUUUGAGAUACUCCAUGGUUUCUCAGAAGCUCUAAAACGGAGUCUGCUCUUUCUGGGGAUUGCAACUCGACCCACUUAGAAGCUAAAAUCGCUCCUUCUGGGGACAACCCACAAGAGUUUAUGAGGUAAGUGACUGUGAAAUUGUGUUGGUUUUCUGAGAUUUCUGAGGUGAUGUGUCUGCAGAGCAACUGACUCUGAAGAGAAAAAUGUGAGGGUUUUGGAUCUCCAACCAACACUCUGUUUGUUUUGGAAGCAAAUGUACAAGAAAAUAUUGAGUGAACCAAUCUGAAGGUCUUCAAAUUGCAGAGUUGAAUCAUGUUAGAGGUUGAUGAUGAACAAUUUCUACAGGAAAACUUAAAGCCCUAGCUGAUUCUCUGCCUUCAGAAAAUAUGCAGUUCUCGGCAUUCUAAAAAGAUCUGAACCAUCCAAAUAAAAUUGCCUGGUAUAGGAUAAACCAUUGCAGCUAGGGUAAGUUUUCUUACCAUUUUCACAACUGACGGUCACUGGCUUACUGCUGCUAUCCAUGGUGGUAGGAAAUAUUAUGCCAGAAAAACCUCUUCAGUCUUCAUAGGUACAAAUCAAAGCAAAGCAAUUACUCCAAUCCCAGGCAAUAAGAAAACCCAAAAAAAGGGGUUGAAUUUCAAACUUGAAAACAGUCGAGGGCAUUUGUUUCUUUGGGACGAAGGGCGAAGAACAUUAGGGCGAUGAUGCUUUGGUUUAUAGACGCUCGACGUGGUUACUCUCAGGUGCGCCCCAGAAGCAAUUUGAAAGCCUCUUCUUGCAAUUGGAAUUUGGAUGUAUGAGUUAUUUACAUUUUACUGUGUGUUGUCAAAAUCCUCGUGGUUUUGAAAAUUACACCUUCUCCUGAAGUCUCAAAUUAUUCUCAUUAAAUCCGAUUUUGUUUUGUCUGUUUCCUUGCAUAGACAGACUUACUUUCUUUUUAUGGGCGUGAGACUCUUGUUUAGGGAUUUUUGUGCUUUGAAUAGAAGAUCUUUUCAACCACCAAAAAAAAAAAAAAAAUCUGAUUUUGUUAAUUUUUCGUCUAAAAGUUAAUGAUUUCAUAUAUAAAAAAGCUUACGCAAAUAACAACUUUAAUUUCGGUUCGAUGAAAAGAAUAGUUUGUAAGGGACUUGAAGCUUAAGUAGUUAAGAUGAUAUAUCCUGUCCUUAGUUCAAUUCCCUCUUCCUGAAUUUCGCUUGUAAAAAUCUAAGUACUAAAUUCCUUAUUAUUUAAAGAUAUUUUUUUAUAUAUAAAAUCAUCAAUUAUAGAAGGAAAAAUCAAUGGAAAAAGGUUUCGAGAAAACAAUUUAUAACUUUAUGGAGUAUUUGUGUAAUUUCUGGAACUACAAAGGAUUUAGUAAAAGCACAAGUUUUUGUGUAAAUAACUCUGAAAUGUAUCUGCAUAAUAAAAUAAAUAAAUAAAACUUUGAAAUGUAUAGUAUACCUGUCAUAUUUUAUUUUUCUAUUUUUGUACUUUAAAUGUCUGUUUAUCCUUUUUAUAUUUGAUUGUGUUGAGUGAAAUGCCUCAUUAAUCUUUUAUCCAUAUAAUGGUUUCUGGAUUAACUUUCUUUUGUGUGAGCGUGUCAUUGUUACAAAUAAUACUCUAAUAAAUUUGAAUGACUUUAUAUACUUGAGCCCCAACUAAUAGACUUUAAACAAACGAUUGUGAUUUUGGGUGGGAAACCUCCCAAGAGAGUUAUUUUCUAUGUCUCAGACCGGUGAGGAUUUCACAAUUUAUCUAGACAAAACGGUAAGUAAAGCAAAAUACACAAAUUUAUGGAGAAUAUAACAGACUAAUCCAAGCAGAAUUGCCUUAAGCACAAAGCAUAAAAUGAAUUGCUAAAUCUAGACAAGCCUCAAAUUGUUAUACUUUGACUUAUGCUUAAAAAUACAGUCAAAAUGAUGUUUUAAGGCCAGGCUGGACUGGAUGUUUCUGCACUAGAAUUGCACGUCAAUACCAUCAACUAACAGAGAUUAGUUGUAAAUAAAUACCAAUGUUGGUAUUGGCAAAGCUAUAAAAAAGUUGAGCCAAUAUGUAGGCUGGAAAAGUAAGCAGAACUGCAGGCAAGUACCUGUUCUGGUUGGUUUUGUAUGAUGUGGAAGCUUUCUAUACAAUUUUAAGACAUCGAGGUAUCUUUAUAAACUUGUUGAGGUUUUCAUAUGAUGAAAGACCUGACUUCUAUUUGUGUUAUCUGAUUUGCUGAACCAAAUUUGUAAGAGAAUUCAAUCUUUUUUAAUUUCUGAUUGAAAUAUCUUGUCUAUAUUGUAAAAAGAAUCUCGUCUUCUUUUUGGUUGUCUAAGCUUUUGUUUGAGUUGGGUUGCUCCCUACAGAAGAUUGCUUGCUUGCCUUUGGUAAUUGCACGUUCGUGUGAUCUUUGAUUUCUUUUGAUCAGUCUGGACUAAUUGUUGAGUUUUGUUUCAUUGGUUGUUUGGUUGGGUCCCUUCUCCAGUCCAUACAUUCUUGUAUUUAUAAGAGAAAAAUGAUAAUGAAGAAAUUUGGAUAUUUUUUUAUUUUAGACUAACCCCCAUUUAAUGCAAAAGUGGCAAAAGCUUUGUCAUUCCAAUGCAUUGAUCAUUUUUGGCACCUGCUCAUCAAUACUCCUGAAUGUCUCCUGAUCGUUCAUUUUGCAAGAACUAGACUGAAGCGAGCAAUAAUUCUCAGAUUCUUCCAGUGUUGGUACCAUAAAUAUCCAAAUACUCUGGUAGAAGAAAAUAUCUGAUGAUCAUAUAAUAAAUAGUCGUGAUUCUCAAGCAAGUCUGACUUUAACUUUACAGCUUUUAAGGUCAUCAAUUUUCCUUGGAGUUUAACGGUGAGGAAAUAUCCUGAAAAACUUUAACAGCUAAGAAAUUGUGAAUUUUGGACUGAAACUAAUUGAAAUAAUUUGAUUUUUGGAUUAAAUCACCAUUGGUGGUAAUUUAUUUACUAAUUUAUCCAAAAAUCAUGAAUUAAUUAAAUUCCCCUUUGGCUAAAUAGUAUGGACUAGUCACCAUUUUUGGUAAACAAAGCCCAGCGUUUUGUAAAAUGAACCCAAUAGCCCAUUUUGGCUAGUGCAUAGGAUUUAACCCCAAACAAUACAUGUUCGGCUAGAAUUUAAAUAAAAAAAUGUAUUGUAUUAUUAAUGUAUUGUAUUAUUAUUCUAUUUUUGAUAAGAUUCUAGAAAUUUGUCUAAUUUUAUACCGGAUGUUUUAGGGGCAUUCUCUUAUGUGCAUUUAGGGGCUUAAUAAAAUAGUCUCACUUCGUCAUCUUUUUAUUGCACAAACGCUUAUUUACACAUCAAAAUUCAACACUUCGGUAUUUCUCUUCCAAUUUCAGCCAUAAUUAUUGUUGUCUCAAAAAGGCUUCAAACACGACUCCAAAAAUGCGUGGAUGCAUAGUGGCUUGGAACGCAAUCCUAAAAUGUUUUAGUUGCUUGAUCGGAUCAUAAUUUCAUUCAGAGUGACAAUUUUUUUUUUUUCAACAACUCUUCUACAACAUUUGACCAUUUUUUCCUUGUUGAAAGUCACAAGUUUUGUCAACUUACAAAAAAAACUAGGCCAAAAUUGUUAUAAAAAUGAUAGGUUUCCUUUUCCAUAAGCCAAAUACAAAACAUUUAUAUUAUAAAUGACAUAUAAACAAAUUAGAAAACUUUUAAGGUAUAAUGAAAUUGAAGAAAAAUAAAUUAAUAGAUAAGUGAAAACAAAAUAAAUUAUAAGUAAGAAGGUGAGUUUGGUACGUUGAAGCACAUCAAAGAUGUUGUCCUAAAGCCUUUGUAGCCUCCCUAAGCGCAAGUAUUGAUGGUCUACAAGACUCCAAGAUACGACCCCUUGUACACAAAUUCAAGAUCCGUUAUGAGCACGUUUAUAGACGGAUACAUAGGUAUCUAAGUCACAGAACCGUUGCCAAAAUAAUAAUAUAAAAUAGAGAAUAAAAGUAGAAAAGGAGAGAAUUAGUUUGUGGUGGUGAUUGUGGUAUGUGAUAUUCUAAUGGUGUAUUGUGUUUUUUUAAAUGUGAAGGAGGAGUGGCCUUUUAUAGGCAUCCAAUAAUAUGUAACAUUCACCACAUUAAACUAGAAAAUUAAGGCAUUCAAUAUAGAACUCAUACCUAAAAAUUAAAUAUGUUAACCUCCAUAAUAAAUAAAAGAAAACAGCCAAAUUAAUUAAUUAAAUAAAAGCGGUUAAUUUUUAAAACCUUUUUAAAAUUCCAACAAAAAUAAUAAUACUAAAGUCCUUAUCUAACCUCUGUAUCUCUUUAAUUGAGAGAUAUUUGAGGUUGACCCUUGUAGGAAGCAAGUGCUGAGUUCUUCAAAGACUAGGUAGAUAGAUAAAUCAAAAUUUUACCCAAUUUCUCAGGAUUUGGAUUUCAGCAAAGUGUUUGGUAGCAUUCUUGCCCUCCAUGAAUGCUGGGGGAAUUGAUUCUAAACAAUUUUAAUCAGGGGAAAGAAAACCCUCACUCCAACAAAUAUUGUGUGUUCGAACAUUGAGGACUAAAAAUAUGUGUUUUAGCUAAAAUAUAGAAGAAGCAGAGAAAAAAAAUUUGGGAGAUUUUAGUGGCACCCCAUUAUUUGCUCUUUGCACCUCACAUUUUCUUUACACCCCACUGAAUUUUAGUAAAAUUUAAAACUACUCACUAUACCCCAUUUUUCUUCCUAAAUUGCCCUCAUGAACCUCAUUUUCUAACUUACUGUGUACACCCCAUCCCAUAUUAUACACCACCCAUCGAAAACCCCCUUCUCUUUCAGACACACCCCAUCUCAUAUAAAACCCCACCCAAUUGAAAAUCCCUCAUCUUGCAAACAUACCCUAUCAGAGGUUUGCAACAAACUCCAUCGCACACCCCAUCAGAGGUUUGCAACAAACUCCAUCGCACAACCCCAUCCAAUUUGAAACAGAGCCAUCGUAGCAAACCCCAACCCCAUCGUAAACCCCCAUCGCACACCCCAUCGUCAACCCCAAACGCCUCACCCCAUCGCAAACCACCAUCGCCUCAGCAUCGCAAACCCUCAUUGUCGAUCUGUCAAGUUUUCACAAUUCCAUCUCACCUUAAUAUCCUUUGAAAAUCCAAGGUUUGAUUUCAAUUUUGAUUUUUAUAUUUAUGUUUCUAAGUGUUGAUUAAGCCUAGGUUUGACCAAAGUUUGAUUUUAAUUUUUGAUUUCAACUUUGGGGGUGUAUAGUUCAAACCUGGUUUUACGAAACUGGAUUUUACUUUUGGUAGGUUACCACUGAAAUGGUUACAUUAUUUCAGUGGUAGUCCGCCGAAUUUGAACUUGGUCUGUAUAAAAAUUAAUUUUACUUUCGGUGGGUUACCAUCGGAAUCGUUGCCUUGUUUCGGUGGUAGUCCGCCGAUUUUGUUUCCGUUUUUCAGUAGUACUCCAUUGAAUGUAUUUUCGUUUUUCAGUGGUACUCCACCGAAUAUGUUUAUGUUUUACAGUGAUUGUCCACCUAAUGUGUUUUCAUUUUUCACCGAUCAUCUACCGAAUCCUUUACUGAAUUUGUACUUAAUAUUGUUUUUUAGAUAUGAAGAGGACUCAUACUACUGAGGCUUCAUCAUCUCGACCUGAUAGACAACGUCUCACAGCCUCAACGAGGAGACAGAGAGUGGCUCCCCAAGAUCACUUUGAGGAUACUACAGAGGUUGAAGAUGUAGUUCCUACUCAUGAUAGUAAUGUUGAUGCGGAGGUUGAAAAUGUAGUGUUACUCAUGAUAGUAAUGUUGAGAUACAUGUUGAGCAUACUGAGCCAUCUUGAGUAGGUCCCAUUGAUCCAUCUUUACUUACGAGUUGUAAAACUUACAUAGCAGCUACAAUUUAGAAUCGUGGGAAACGAUAUCUAUUAGUUUUAUAGGUGCAAUCCAUGAUAAGUACAUGUGGAAAUGCACGCAAAAUCUCAAUAUUAAUAGGGUGUGUCUAAAACAAGUCAGUUACAAUAUCACUAGAUGUCCUAUGCCACUCAAUAUAAUUGUGUUCGGAUAACUUAGUAAGCAAUUGUUGCAUUUGUGUUCUCCCAUCAAAUUCUUUGGUUUUAUUUUCGGAUCCUAGCAUUGUAUAUUGUCUUCAUAGUUGAAACAUUCAUUGCAUCUCUAUCCUUCAGGAUGACCAACAUAUCUCUGGGUUUCACCAAACUCUAGACAUGUCCACCAAUAAGGCAUUCUCUUCUUCAGAAAGUCGCCCCACAAAUGAAUGACCUUGAAGAUACUUUGAAAUAGGAUGGUUGUGUACUCUACAAACCACCUCCAACUUCCAAUUAUCCCCAUCACAAAUAUUGACACCUUUUAACAAGAAUGGACAUCCACAUUUCUUAGUACCAAUGUCCCUAGCACAUUUUUUCGUAUCACUAUUUGCAUGCGACCUUACAUCAGUUGUCUCACUAGACUUGCAAGACUUAUAGUUACUGCUCCUUUCACAAGAAAGUAUUACUCGAGGUCUCCUCUUGUCCUUACCUCCAUAAUCAGACCUUCUAAUUAUAAUUACAAUAUUAUUAACUUCUCCUUUUGCAUGAGCCCAUUUAAAUAAUGCAUCUCUACCAUUAAAUAUCUACACAUAAAACUCAUGUUAUUUAAAGUUAAAAUUUGAAACACUAAUGUCACGUUGAUGAUACUAAAAAGGAUUUCAUACCAAAAAAAAAAAAAAACUCAAAUAAUUACCAAAUAAGUUAUGCAUUGAUCACUAUAGUCCAUUACACAUUUUGUUCCUACAUUGUUGCCUUUAGUAAGGGCGUCACCUUGUUUCUAUUCAUUCAAUAGAAGUAAGGUCAAAAUAGCUUACAUUAAAUUUAUGGUCCACAAUAAGUUACUGAAAAAUAAAUAUAUUUCGGUUCGUUGCCACAGAACUGCAUGAAAAAGUUCGGUAAUACACCACUGAACAUCAUUCCAUGUUAUGGUGGAUCUGAUCUCUACCGCAUCUUAAGUUAACGGCCGGUCAAACACAACUGAAAUAGGUGCAACAUUUCAGUGGCAUCCCACCAAAUGUACUUAUCGCAUUCAGUACUGAUGUGUUGAACUCAACCAGUGACCAUCAUGAAAUCCUAAACUUGAAAAAUGCCAAAAAAUAAAUUCAUACCUUAUUCAAGGCCUCUCUAACUUCAGUCUCACCCUUCAUGAAUAAAUACAAGAUAUAUUUCACUAAUAUAAACAUAUAAACCUCGUUAGGGUUGUAGGAACAUGAUGGUUUGAGAAAAAAAGCCUAACUGGGUUGUAGGAACAUAUGUGGGGUGUAUUGAGCAAUUUUAAUUUUAAAUUUUAAUUUUUUUUUAUCCUUAACGGUAAUUAUGUACAAGGGUAAAAUCGGUUAUUCAUGUUUAAAUUUAGUAUGGGGUGCAAAGAGCAAAUAAUGGGGUGCCAACAAAAUCUCCCAAAAAAUUUAGCCCAGCCCUAUAUAAAUUCCUUGUUCUGCCUUGUUUGGGUGGGUUGAGGAAAUUUGUGUGUGGAAGGGGGAAUGGAGGAAGGGCCUGUAAAGAGGGAAGGGGGAUUGGAUUUCAAGGUGGGCGGGGUUGGUUGGAGCUACUGGUGGUGCACAGAUGAUGGGGUAAGGUGAUAUUUUUUAUUUUCAAUUUUUAUUUUUUUUAAGAUUUUCUAUUUUUAAGAUACCCUUGAAAAUGGAAAGACUAAAAUACCCUUAAAAUAGAUGGAAAAUUAGAUGGUGUUAAAGUGAGAAGACAAAUCAUGAAUUUUGAAAAAUUAAGGUGACAUUUUGUCACACCCCAUUUUUUUUUUUUUAGUGGGAGUGUGAGGUAAAAGAAAAACUAAAACUAAAAAUUAAAUAUCAAGAAAGAUGAAGAUUGAACAUAAACUUCUAUUUAAACUAAAGUAAUUUACAUUGUAAUUUUACAAGAAAAAUAACAAGAAAGUAACAAACUUUCAACAAAACAUUCAAAACUAUCCACAACUCUUUCUUCUUGUUUCCUCGUCGCAAACUAAACUUCAGAUUCAAACCUUGCAAUAGAUUCAAUAAGGGGUGAGCACUACAUGCUCAGUAGGGGUCCUAUGUCUUCUGUGAUUAGUGAGAUUUAUAAUGUACAAUUUAUGCAAUGCAUGAAUGAACUUUAAUUUUUCCCAACAUGUUAAUCUAUAUAAUAGGGUAAGCAAAUCUGCAUGUCCCAUACCAUUCAUUUUACCACUGUGCUUCUGAAUGUCCCAUUAUAUAAACUAACACCCAUCUCAAUUAUCACUCAAUUCCCCUUUUGCUAGUCGUCUUGUCUACACUAUUGAUCUCCAAGCCCAAAUCACCAAAUCAACAAUUAUACCUCUGAUUUCCUAGUCUACUGUGCACACGGGCUCCCCUGAACUUGGUCCCUACAAUGGUCAGACUCAACUACACAAAAGAUCCUUCCCAUUACCCUCUUUUCCAUAAUUUCUUUGUCAACCCAAGAAUUCCAACCACUACCGACAACAUAUGAACAUGUCAAUAUUAAUCAAAUUAUAAUGAUAAUUGACAACAUGUAAACACCCAAUAUCAAGGAUAAUAAUCAAAUAAUAUUACAAAGCAUAAUAUAGUGUUCACAAUAUUUAAUUAAAUCAAUUUAUGUAAAGCAUCCCCAAGAAAAACCCCUACCUCAAAUCCCAAGCUAUUGUAUAACUCCCAGUUGCAAGUCCAAGCACUUUGAGCUUCUCCAAAAUCUCACCACACUUAAAUUCUCACUCUUUUCUUUCUUUUGUCUACAAUUUUUAGGAAACUAACGCAACUUGAAGAACUUAUGAUAUAUGAACUAUAAGGUAGGGCUAUUUAUAGCAAGCUAGAGUCGGCAAAGAUAUAGAUAAAAGUUUAAUAUUGUGCCACAUAACUAGCCUAUAGAUUGCUAGACUACUUGGGUGGCUUGAAAGUAAUCUGCCACACCAAAUAGCCUUAUGUAUUGGCUUUGUAGAGUGCUUAAGUUUAUAUAUAUAGGGAUACCUACUGUUCUUACACCUCAUGUGUAACGACCCGGUCCUAAAUAAAUUGAUAAUUAUUAAUUUAUGUAGAUAAAAGACCAUUUUACCCCUAGAAUAUUUUAUUGAGUUUAAAGUUGACUUUGUGACCAGAAAGGAAUUUGAGAAUUUCAGCUGUACCGUUGCGUAGAGCUUGAUGAGAUGAGUUCGUAGACACGUAGUGGACUCGAUUUGGAGUUGUAACGAGGAAGUUACGAUCAAAAGAAACUCAAUGGCACAAUCGUAAUUAUUUUGAAAUGGGAUUUUUAUAAAAACAGAAAUUUCUCUCUCUCUCUCUCUCUCUCUCUCUCUCUCUCUCUCUCUCUCUCUCUCCCCUUGCGCGCAUAAACACCUCCCCGGUUACUGUUCAUCCGAACAAUAUUUCUUCCGCCAUCUCCUCUACCGGCCACCAAACUUCAUGAUAUUGGUACCAAAACGUCAAGCUCACAUCCCUCUUCCUAUCCCAACCCUUCACCACCGCUACCGCUGCCCGUAGUUGCCGGUUGCAGAAAAGUCGCCGAAUUUACCCAUAACUUGAAGGAGCUCGUUCGGGUGAUUCCGGCAACUAAAUUCUUCAAACUUGGUAUGUUUUCUCAUCCUCUCAAUGUGUUCUAGCUGUUGGUUGGGUUGUUUAGAAUUAAUUUCUGCAUUUUGAAAUGAAUUUAAGAGAUUAAAGUUUUGGCCGUUUUCGGCCUCCUAUUCCGGCCACUUCCUUAGACUUUUUGGGGUAGGCCCAAGAACAAAAGUGGUUCCAAAUAGGGUAGGAAGCUGGAUUUCCAGUUGUGAAGAUUUCUGGUUGCCGAAAUUUGAUCAAGCCACCCAUGAGCUGCCGAUGCGUGUGGCGGGGCGUGAACCAUUUGUUGGCCGGUCUUUGAGUCGUAAAAUCAUCCUCAUGUCAUCCCGAGCACUACGGUAUGCUCGGAUAUGAAUUUGGAUAUCGUUUGAUCGUCGAUCAGAUAUGGCAUAUUUUGUGAUAUCGAGGUUCGAUUGGUUUGAGCCGUUGGACCGUCUUGAAUUUAAUAUAUGUUAAUCUAGACAUUCUUAGGUCGUAUGGAAUUCGACGGAUCGUAAAACGGAGUCCCGGAUACUCCGAAAAUGCCAACCCUAAGGCUAGGUUCCUAGUAACCGAGUAACCAUCCGAUCCGGACCAAACUUGCGGGACGUGUAUCCUAAACCUUGUGGAACCUAUAGGAACUUUCAAAUCGGAAUUUGGAGGUCGUGUGCCUGUUUGACCAAGUUGGGGUAGUUGGACCCCUCGGUUGACCGUGAGUCUUCCGAGGUAUUUUCACCUUUCGGAAGGUAUUAAGAUAACUUUUUUAUCGAAUCUUAACUGUUAUUUGAGGUUAAAUUGGAAAUUGAUUCGAUUUAGGGUUUUCCUUAGAGGUUGUUGCUUAUCAUUAAUUAAUAUUAUUUAAUUAUAAAUAAAGUAUAAUGUUCUAGUUGUGUGAUACGGUAUUUUAUGGAAUUUGUGUGAAAACAAGUGUUGAAUAAUAUUUAAAUUGUUCUAGGAUCUUUAUGAAAUUUAUGUUUAUGUGUAUGAUCGUUGGUCUAAAAAUAAUAUUAUUUUCCUGAUUAAAUUACGUUGCAGUCUACUAUCGACUGGUAUCACUAUAUUAGGAAUACAUCUAUUAUUAGUUUAGAUAAUUGAGAGUAUGUCAGUUUGAAGUCCUAUACGCACUACUCUAUGUACCUCUCCGGAUAUUGAUUACACUGUAAGUACUAUCCUGUGAUUGUUAGGUCCCUCGUGGUGUAGGUUAUCUGGCGUAAGGACAGACCCCAUACAUGGCGUUGGAUGUUCCGGCGUAUGGGGGAGAUUAUGUGAUGGUUAGUUCACACGUGACGUAGGUUAUCCGGCGUGUUAAUAGGCCUCAUACGUGGCAUUGGAUGUUCCGGCGUAUGGGGAGAUUUUGUGAUUGUUAGGUCCCACGUGGCAUAGGUUAUCCAGCGUGAGGACAGACCUCAUACGUGGCGUUGGAUGUUUCGGCGUAUGGGGGAGAUUAUGCGAUGGUUAGGUCACACGUGGCGUAGAUUUUCCGGCGUGUUGACAGAUCCCAUAUGUGGCUUUGGAUUUUCUAGCGUAUGGGGGGAUUAUGUGAUUACAAGGGAGAUGAAUAAAGGAUUGUUAUGUUAUAUUGGGAAAGAACUACGUGUGGUUUGAUCCUUCAGUAAGGGUACGUAGGCAGCCUAGGGUAGUGCCUAGGUGCAACCGUAGACUAAAUGUUGUUUUAUUGAGAUUGGUUCUGACCUUGUCGUUGGUCCUUAAAUUUGGGUGAAAACGAGAUGUGAUUGUGUUAGGAGGUUAAAACCUCGUAUGUUGGAUAUGUGGGAAGUUAUUUUAUACUGAUUAUAGUGGGCAUUCAUAAAUUGUCUGAAUUCAUUAUUGGCAUUGUUUAGAGUUUGUUUGAUGGUUUCGCUUAAGAUUAUUUGAAGGCCGGAGGCCAUCUAUGUGAAUUGCAUGUUGUUAUAUUGUGCAUGCUGCCUGUUGGGAUAUUAAAUUGUAAAUUUUGUGCAGGUUGACAUUUGGGGAAUGUUCAAUUUACAAGAGAGACUCUGCCAAAAUUUCGCUAGAAAGUCUCGUGCCCUUAUUCCUUUUUGGGAAAAAGGAUAUAGUUUUAGAAGUGGGCCUGACAUCGGGGUGAUGUCAGAUAUCCACAAGAUUCGUCUCGAGUUCCGAAGAAUUUGGGGCGGGUCCUGUCAUCAUGCCAAUAUAUCCCACCUCAUGCUUUAAUUGUUUUUGAGGAUUCCAUUUGCAACACGUCAAUCUUUAACAGAAAGCUUAGUAAGCAAACAAAAAUCUUUCUAAAUGCUUUUGUAAAGUGUGUGUAUAUAAUAAAUAAUAAAUAAGGCUGAAAUGAAUUGAUAUAGUUAAAGCCAUGCAAUAAGAUUUGAUAGGCUUAUGCUAGUUAGUGUUUUUUUUUAUUUUUUUUUUGGACUUUUCCAAUUGAAAGGGGCGAUAGCAUAUUAAACUCACACACACAACACAGAUGCUAGGACUCAAACCCAGGACCUUGUCUGACGGAAUAAAUACUCCAAACCACUACACUAGUGGGUUCUUUGCAUGCUAGUUAAUGUUUAGAUUCACGUAACAUGCCAUAUAUAUAUAUUAUCAAUUAUAUCUUUUGAAAACUAAUAAUUUUAAAUAAUUAAUUUUAUGAUAUAUUAAUAUACAUAUAUAAAAAUAUGGGUUUCACACAUUUCUCUUAAAUUUUUCUUUAAAAUGAUAAAUUGUUUUCAAGGUAUAAGUUCAUGUUAGAUUUUUUUAUAUAAAAAAUCCCUUGAAGAAAUUAAGUGCUUGCAUAACAUCAGAAAAUUUAUUUUCAGGCACUUAUUUUCUCAUGGCUUGGGGCAAUGAAUUGCAUGUAUGCUAACUAAGAAUCAAUUCUUGAAAACUGUCAACCAAGUAAAGAAUAAACAAGGCCUCUUUUUAUAUUUUGGCGAACCAAGAGAAGUUCAUUGAACAGAAAUUUAUUCCAAAAAACAGUGAAAUUGAUCCUUGACCUCCCUCUUGAUAUCCACACAUCUUUGCACAUCCAUCAGUGCGGAAUAGAUUCAUCCUAAAGAUAACAAUUGCCAAACCACCCUACUUCGCACAUCCAUCAGAGCCGAGUUUUAUGUCCCUUGAAUUCCCAAUUCAUCAAGCAUGGCAGAUAUCGUGUUCCUAAUCAUUAAGGUCUCGGUAAAAAGGCUAACACAAGAGAAAACCUUAAGAUGGGAAUGACAUACUUGGAAUUGGAGCCGAUCUAACGGUUCGAGCAUAUCAAACCCAGAUAUUGCUUAAUAGGCAUAAACCCGUUUGACUGUCAUAUGAUAACCAAAUUCGAAUCCGAGCAUACCGUCGCACUCAGGACCACAUGGAGAACAGUUUAGAACACAAUGGGCCGCCACACCAUGGCCCACACGCCGCCACAAAUGCCGGCAGCACGUGGGUGGAUUGAGAAAAUUUCGACUACAGAAAAUUCUUGAAACACCCUACAAUACCUAUACCAAUACGUUCAAACCAACAAUGGGAACACUUUUUGUUCUUGGACCAGGGCCAAAAUGUGACCGGAGCUAGAUGAAAUCACGACCAAAGCACCAGCCUCAUAUGGGUAUAUUGAACAAUCGUAAACCUCAAAAUCGAUUUACAAUACUUACAUAAACAGAUGGAGCACAAAGAGUAGAUGAAGUUUCAUACCUCACUCAACAAAAAUAGCAGUCGGAGUUGCCAAAAACGGUGCCAAAAACUUCUAAAAUCACCCAAACUUCCAAUCAUUCCAGUUUAAUUUCCUUCGGUUUUGGAGCUCGGAAAAUGGGUGGAUUAGAUAGAGGACGUCGAUACGAAACUUUUGCUACCAAUUUCACCUGAGUCGAACACUGGACGACGACGAAAUCGCCGUCAGAAAUUUGCUGCGUGCGGAGGGGAGAGAGAGAGAGAGCUGAUCUGUUUUUAAAAUCCAACUUCAAAAAAUUUACGAUUGUGCCACUGCACUUCUGUUGACCACAACUUCCUCAUUAAAACUCCGAUUUGGGCCUACUACAUAUCACGAACUCGUGAGAGCGAGCUCUACACAACGGUGCCACUCAUUUCCCCUAGAUCCUUCUAGAUUAAAAAGGAGUGGUGCUAUUUUCACCUACCUGUCCUAUUUUUUCACCCACUUUAUUUUCCCACCCACCAUAUAAAUUUGAAAAAACAUAAUCCUAUUUUUCCACCCACCAUUAUUCCUAAAAUACCCUUUAUGUGCAUCCCACCAUUGUUUUUGUAAAUCAUUCAUAAUCAAUGUAUGAACUUAAAUACAGAACACGAGUUUGGGAGUUGUCUGUGUAUAUAGAAACCGAGGAAUUGAAACUAUUUGUGCAAAUAAUCUCGCAAGAGUAUAUUAACUUCUAGAUCCUCCAACCUUCGAUCUUCCUUCUCUCUCUUCCUCAUUUCCUGUAAAAAAGAUUGGAGUAAAUAGACCACACCCGGGGGUGUUGGCCAAAGGCCCUCCAAUGCCUAAGUUAGUUCAAGUGUUUGUAGGAAAACAAUAGCUAAGCAAAGGGUACGGAGUUGUAUGUAGGGUGUGAACAGGACAGCCGGAGCCGUGUGGAGAAAAUAUGGAGAGUGGAGAGGGAGAGAGAGCUUCAGAUAUUUUUCUCGAGUAUUAGGAGUAGGUUUAGAUGUACCUUGAAUGAUGAAUGAGGUCGUCUAUUUAUAGGAGCCUCGGGGCUAGGGUUUUGUAGAGAAUAUGAUGAGUUUAUUCUCUAUCCAAAUUCAUAUUGAUCGAGUCGAACUUGAUAAUAUCUUAAUUAAUGUUGUAAAUGCAUGAGUUGGUGGAUGACCACCAUACCUCUUAGUAUUCCACCGUUGGAUUUUAUGUAACCUAUGCACUAAGUAUUUGUAAUUAGUGCUUGUAACCUAUAGGUAUAUUGUAAAUGAUGGUAUUCAAUCUCCUAUCUUGUAAGCCUAUAAAUAGGUGGUUCUACCAAAGAUUAAGACAUGAAUAAACAUGGUGAAACUUUAUCUUUAGCAUAUCACUUCUCUCUACAUUUUCUCCCUUUAGUUUUAUAACACGUUAUCAGCACAACAUUGCUCUUGGUAUGUUUUCUUUCUCUGAAUUUUCUUUCUUCUUAUAUGAGCUAGAGUCAUCACAUGGUAGAGUUUCUUUGUACUCACCAUCAGACUUCAUCAUGCUUGUUUAAGAAAAAAAAAUUUCUUAUUCUUAUUACACAUGAAUAUAAUGCCAUGUUUUUGUUUUUAUUUGUUUGUUUAUUUAAUUUUAAGUAUGAUCUUAAUUAUUAUGAUGAGUUUGAAUUAUACAAAAGAUCAGGGGCCCGAAGUUCCGUGAUCCUCAUCAUAUAACUAGAUUAGGACAUAGAGUCCUUUUGAUUGAAUCAGAACCUGAAGUUCUUUGAUUCCAAAUAAUUGAGGACGUGAAGUUCCGCAAAUUUAAAGAGCACAUAAGGACAUGAAACUCCUCGAUUUUGUAUUAAUCAAAAUCAGAAUUCCAUGAGGCCUACAUAUGUCAAGAACUCGAACCAGAAGUUUCGAGUGCAUAUACAUCGAUUUGAGUAUGAAGUUCAAAGCACAACUAUUAAUUCAAUUUAUUUAGAUCUACAUAUUCGAACCCGAAGUUUCGAAUAUAGAUUGAUAUGAACCUGAAGUUCAUAGUUUUUCAUGGAUCUUAAUACUACAUAUGAACCUAAAGUUCAUUACUUAUUUGUGCCCAUAUGAACCUGAAUUGGUUGGAAAUCCAAUUCUUAAACUUGUAGUUUUAUCUACAUAUUGAAUCCACAUUAAUAUUGGAUUAUCUUGGAAUUUCAUAGUCUUUAAUUUAUUUAUUUUAUUCCUUGUUUAUACCACUUUACUCAUUUUAUUUUAUUUAUGUUGUGUUAUUAGUUAAUUUCGUUUUACAAUGGUAAUGUUUUGUAUUACCGCCCCAAUAUUGACGGCCAUAGACGUCUAUUGGAGAAACUUCCUGCUUUCUUUUGUGGGUAGGAAGUUUAUGAUGUCAUGAACCAAAAGUUCAUGAGGCCUCAAUAUUACACAACUAUUAAAGUAGUUGAAGUUUAUGAUGUCAUGAACCAAAAGUUCAUGAGGCCUCAAUAUUACACAACUAUUAAAGUAGUUGAAGAUUAUGAUGUCAUGAACCAGAAGUUCAUUGACCGGAUAACUUUUAUGUUGUGGCAUGACUCUCUUGGCAAUCCAUGUUCCUCAAUGAUACAUAAGAUUUUUAUAAAUUUGUAAGGACAUCGUUUAAAGACUCAAAAUAUUGUCUUGUCCAACAAAUAUCAUUACAAAGAAAGCUCACAAAUAAAAGCUGUCAUAAGAUCAUCCCAGUUAAAAAUUGACUUUGAGCCCUAAUUCAAGGGGAUAUUUGUGAGCCUAUACAACAUUUAAUUAUGAAUUACUUCACCAGUUUUACUGAAUGCGCCUACUAAAAUGGUCACAUAUUUGAUAAUGACUGUGAGUUUAUUUUCCUAAAUUUUGAGACAAUUUUCACGCCGUUAGGGGGAGAAAUGGCAGUUUCUGAAGAACGUCGUGAAAUAGUGUUGAAUCAAUCCACUUUUGUCUCAUCAAGAUAAUGCAUAUAUAAGUUGUACAUAUGCUAACAUGGAUUGAUAUUCUUGUAUCACAAUCCAUUAACAUGGUGACUAUCUAUAUAAUGCAUGCCUGAAGCAUGACAGAAAUAUAGGUUCUAAAGACUUAACUCCUCAGAAAUGGAGAUUAUUUGAAAAAUUCAAGCCCUAUAAAAAAUACGCUCUAUAGGAGGUUAUGAUCCACAUAUUCUAAAUAAUUCAUUGUAAAAGAGAUGUUUGUCCCAUAAGUGACAACAUAAGCCCCUGAAGAGGCAUUGGUACCCCAAAGCAAUGAGAUGAUUAUAAAUUAUACAUGCACAUGCACAUAAGAAUUGUGGGAUCACAAAUCGAUGAUACAUUUGGUUUAUUAGUAGCUACUACAAUCAUCAAGGGCUAUGAUUAUAUUAAAUCACGUUUCAUGAAUGUCGACAAGUUAAGUGAUUGGCCAAAAAUGAAAAUAGGCAAUUCCAUUUAUCACUAAAUAAGAAGAGUUGCAUAUUGAACCUAUAACUCAAACACCAAAUUACAAAUGUUCAGUAUGAAGGUUACGAAUUGGUGUUUUGUGAAGUGAAAUAAGAUCACUAAUAUGACAUAAGGUUUCCUGGGAGAGACAUGUGGUUUUAGUCUCCAAUCUCAUCGUAAAUGCAUCCACAUUUCUAUAAGUGCGGUUGUUACUUUAACGCAAAACUUAUAGCAUGUGUUAAAUGCAUAUUUAUUAAGACUAUAUGGUACAUGGAAAUCAUUCAAAGCUUAUGAAAUAUUUAAGAUAUAUCGGAUGAAGCAACCUCUUGAAGGAUAUAAAAUACCACAAUAUUCUUAAUUAAGAGUUAACACUAAGAGUUUGAGUAUUUUGAAUUCAAAUUUGAUAUUGUUGUAACAUAUUCUAACUAUUAAAUUAGUUGUUGAUGCUCCUAAAUAUUUCAAUCAUUUGAAAAGUGAAAAGCAGGUCGAAUAACGUGAUAGAUGAUCAUGUAUGAAGACAAUGUUGCUUGUAUUGCUCAAAUCAGAGAAGGGGAGAUAUUAAUCAGGGGGAGAUAUCAAUCAGGGGGAGAUAUCAAUCAAGAGGAGCAUCCCCAUUCUACUACAUACAGGACAUAUGCUUGUUGUACUCUUUUUCCCUUCGACUAGGUUUUUGUCCUACUGGGUUUUUCCUAGCAAGGUUUUAAUGAGGCAACAUAAGUGCAUCCAACACCAUAUUAAUGAUCCAGAAGAAAGUUUCACUCUUUUUCCUUUCGCUUCGGUUUUGUCCCUCUGGGUUUUCCAAGCAAGGUUUUUAAUGAGGGAACUAUGUCAUUGUAUGGUGGACAUCCAAGGGGGAGUGUUGUAAAUGCAUGAGUUGGUGGAUGACCACCAUACCUCUUAGUAUUCCACCGUUGAAUUUUAUGUAACCUAUGCACUAAGUACUUGUAAUUAGUGCUUGUAACCUAUAGGUAUAUUGUAAAUGAUGGUAUUCAAUCUCCUAUCUUGUAAGCCUAUAAAUAGGUGGUUCUACCAAAGAUUAAGACAUGAAUAAACAUGGUGAAGCUUUAUCUUUAGCAUAUCACUUCUCUCUACAUUUUCUCCCUCUAGUUUUAUAACAAUUAAAUGAUAUUAUCUCUUUUUAUGAAGAUAAUAUCUGAAUUAAUGAUAUUAUCUUAUUAAAUAAAGAUAAUAUCAUAUUAAUUAAGAUAUUUAUCCCUAUUAAUUAAUUGGCCAGAUAAACUGGUUCAAUUAAUUAAUUUGAGAGAUAAUCUUCUUUUCCAUGUGGCGCGCUGUGAUUGGAGACGAAAAUAUUUGCUCCCACAGAAAUUAACUUCAAAUUUGGGAAGAGUUGAAAACCUUAAACAUUGCAUCACAAAUCCAAUGGCUGGUAACAAAUUCGUUUCCUUGUAUUUCAGUUUCUUUGUACUUUAGUUUUACAUUUUUUUUGUGGGUGUUAGUGCUCGCGUGGUUUUCCUUUCUGGAAGCCUAGCUUUGUACGAUCUGUUUGUCCUCUUCCUUAAGGAAAGCCCACUUUGAUCAAAACAAAAAAUCCAAUACCAGGUAGUGCUAGGGUUUGGAGAGGGCUGUUAGGGAUGGAUUCGAAGAGAGAGAUGGGAGAAGAGAGAGAAAAAAGGAGAUGGAUUAGGAAAGAAGGUGAGGUCUGGGAAGGUUUUUUUAUUUUUAUGAAAAACUGGAGAUGAAUUUUCAAUUUUAAAGCUUUUCCCUUUGUUAAAGUUUUUUUUCUAAAAUAUUUAAAUAUUUAAAUUUUACAUUUCAUUUCAUUAUUCUUAAGUACUUAGAAGUCAUUUUAUAAAGGGGUAAAUUUAUCUUUAAAAUUUUGAAGAUAAAGUAGGUGGGAAAAUAGGAUAAGGAGGUGAAAAAUUAGAAAUAGCAGCACUCUUAAAAAGUGACCAUAGUAAACCUACUCCGAAGGGUAAAAUUGUAAUUUCACAAAAGAAUUAAAUUGAAUUAAAUCAAUUAAUUUGGGUCAAGAAUGUUACAGUAUGGACUAGUCACCAUUUUUGGUAAAUAAAGCCCAACGUUUUGUAAAAUGAAUCCAAUAGCCCAUUUUGGCUAGUGCGUAGAUUCUAGAAAUUUGUCUAAUCUUGUACCGAAUGUUUUGGGGGCGCUUUUUUUAUGCCAUGUGUUCUCUUAUGUGCAUUUAGGGCAUAAUAAAAUAGUCUCACUUCGUCAUCUUUUUAUCGCACAAAUGCGUAUUUACGCAUCAAAAUUCAACACUUCAGUAUUUCUCUUCCAAUUUCAACCAUAAUUAUCGUUGUCUCAAAAUGGCUUCAAACACGACUCCAACAAUGUGUGGAUGCAUAGUGGCAUGGAACACAAUCCUAAAAUGUGCUAGUUGCUUGAUCCAAUAAUCAAUUUCACUCAGAGUGACGAUUUUUUAUAUUUUGGCGAACAAAGAGAAGUUCCACACAACUUUGCACAUCCAUCAGUGCGGAAUAGAUUCAUCCUAGAGAUAACAACUGCCAAACCACCCUACUUUGCACAUCCAUCAGAGCCGGGUUUUAUGUCCCCUGAAUUCCCAAUUCAUCAAGCAUUGCAGAUAUCGCGUUCCUAAUCGUUAAGGUCUCGGUAAAAAGGCUAACACAAGAGAAAACAAUGAGAAAAUGAUGCUUAUCGAUUCCUUUGAUGCCAUGUUGACAUGAUUCCAUAUAAAACUAAUCAAUCAUUGACACUGAAGUAGUUCCUAUAAACGAACCGUGGCCGCUUAAGUAGGCUAGCUGCAUCUCAGAGGACAAUUACUCAAAGAUUGACCUGGGGCUUCACUUUCAUUACUUCUUUCACAACGAGGGAACCGCGCCGCAUCAGUCGAUGUGGUGGAACGCCCUCCUGAGUCAAAGAUAGAGCUUUUGCUCCUCUCUUCAAGAGAGAUGCUUCGGUAUCUGAAUCGGCUGAAGGAGAGUGAAGAGGCAGCUACUCUCCCAGCCCACGGGUAGCCUCUUCUUUCUGGUCUACAUCAAGUGCAUUGAAUGCCCCAUAAUCAGAAUCAAAGAGGAUAGGUCAAGGAGAUGUUCGGGACGAAACCUGAGUGGAUCUGAGGCAAAGCGGAGCCUCCGGAGGUACGGCGGCUUGUGCUGUGCCGUCAUUUCGGAUUCCCGACUGAUUUCGGCACUAGUUAAAUGGGGAAAAUCACCCGGAUCUUGAAUCAACUAGUAGAUCAUCAACACAGGGUCCCAAUUCAUUUGGCGACCGCGAAGUCACCGAAUGAACUGCCGAGCUGGGACAGCCCGUGCGUGACCCAUACGAAUCCUACAGUCAUUCUUAUCUUUUGAAAAAUGGACAGAAAUUAGUUUCUUCCACUCCUCACCCAAAAUACAAUACAUUAUACCCUAAUAGAAGCAAUACAUGUGCACAUUGUACAAAAUCAACUUUCAAGGGUAACCAAAGUCGGGAACCAUAAACAGAACAAUUUGGGCGAUGCUAUGGCAGGCAUUUGUUCUAAUAAGAAAGCAUUAUAUAAAUCUAAUUAAAAAUCUAUGGUAGGCUGCCGAGUAGAAGAAAGAAAAACUGAAUUUACUUCCUGCAAAAGUUUAGUAAGAUGUGGGAUACAAUUUAAACCUUACUUUAAAGACAAUUUCCAGGGUAGAGGACAGCAUUAUAGUAUUGUGCCAAAAGCAAGCUAAUGCAUAUGAGUGAUGCAGCAUCAGGUGGCUAAAAUAAUUACAUCCUCACCGGUUUCAACAUAUCAGAUCAGACAUCCUGGAUAUCUACCUUCCCUUGAUACACACUUAACAGUUCAGGUACUUUGCCAAGAUAUCCGUUCACAAAACUCUCCAAGAACUGCUUCUCUGCCGGUUUCAGCAGAGAACCCAGAUUCAAGUUCCCAUUUAUGAAACCUUUCGACAACAGAACUUUAACAACAGAGCACCUUGGGAUAAGUCUCUUCUCUAUACUGAGACCGAGGACCACAGGAUAUUUGGCAAUCAUUCCUGACGACCAUCCCAUCUUGUUCACUAAAAGAUCCAUUGCUUGCAUAAGUUUCUUCUCCGAGACAAUCAUAGACAGCGGGUUCUUCCUGAAAGCGGAGAGAAAAUCAUCCUCAGACCAACCCCAUGUCUUAAGAACUUCACGACUUCUAUUCAAUACCAACUUAUUCUUACCACACAAUGCACACAGGGCAUUCACUGAAGUUGAUUUUUCCAGAUUAAAUCCCAUUUCCUUAACCUCACCCACAAGUUGACCAAAUUUUUCAGGAUUUACCAUCAAAGAGGGAGUACAGUGAGCUAACAACAAAGAAAUGCAUGGUUGAGGCAUACCCGAUUCUCUCAAAAGCCCAAUAUUUGGAACAACAUGCUUGCGGUGACUUUCCAAGAAAAUCCAUGAGUUGCGUUUUAAAACAGCAACAACAUUUUUCUCAGAGAGCAUACUCCUGAGGAAGUUAUAAGUGGGCAAAAUCCGAUUUCUCAAGCUGGCUGCCAAAAGCUGUGGAUUAAAAGUCAGAGUUUUUAUAAGGUCCACCUUUGAAAUUUCAAGAGAGCUGAAAAACUCAAGCUUUGGCAAAAGGGUUUUCUCAGGAUCAGCUGAAAGAAGUUUUGGAUGUGACCUAAUAAGCUUUGAUAUCUGGGUUUGAGAUGCUCCAUAGUUUCUCAGAAGCUCUAAAACGGAGUCUGCUCUUUCUGGUGACUUCAACUCGACCCGCUUACAAGCUGAAAUCGCUCCUUCUGGGGACAACCCGCAAGUGUUUAUGAGGUAAGUGACUGUGAAAUUGUGUUGGUUUUCUGAGAUUUCUGACGUGAUGCGUCUGCAGAUCAACUGACUCUGAAGAGAAAAAUGUGAGGGUUUUGGAUCUCCAACCAACACUCUGUUUGUUUUGGAAGCAAAUGUACAAGAAAAUAUUGAGUGAACCAAUCUGAAGGUCUUCAAAUUGCAGAGUUGAAUCAUGUUAGAGGUUGAUGAUGAACAAUUUCUACAGGAAAACUUAAAGCCCUAGCUGAUUCUCUGCCUUCAGAAAAUAUGCAGUUCUCGGCAUUCUAAAAAGAUCUGAACCAUCCAAAUAAAAUUGCCUGGUAUAGGAUAAACCAUUGCAGCUAGGGUAAGUUUUCUUACCAUUUUCACAACUGACGGUCACUGGCUUACUGCUGCUAUCCAUGGCGGUAGGAAAUAUUCUGCCAGAAAAACCUCUUCAGUCUUCAUAGGUACAAAUCAAAGCAAAGCAAUUACUCCAAUCCCAGGCAAUAAGAAAACCCAAAAAAAGGGGUUGAAUUUCGAACUUAAAAACAGUCGAGGGCAUUUGUUUCUUUGGGACAAAGGGCGAAGAACAUUUGGGCGAUGAUGCUUUGGUUUAUAGACGCUCGACGUGGUUACUCUCAGGUGCGGCCCAGAAGCAAUUUGAAAGCCUCUUCUUGCAAUUGGAAUUUGGAUGUAUGAGUUAUUUACAUUUUACUGUGUGUUGUCAAAAUGCUUGAGGUUUUGAAAAUUACACCAACUUCUCCUGAAGUCUCAAAUUAUUCUCAUUAAAUCCGAUUUUGUUAAUUUUUCGUACAAAAGUUAAUGAUUUUAUAUAUAAUAAAGCUUACGCAAAUAACAAAUUUAAUUUCGGUUUGAUUAAAAGAAUAGCUUGUAAAAGGCUUGAAACUUAAGUGGUUAAGAGGAUAUAAUCCCGUCCUAAGUUCAAUUCCCUUCUACCGAAUUUCGCCUAUAAAAAUCGAAGUACUAAAUUUUUUAUUAUUUGAAGACAUUUUUUUAUAUAAAAUCAUCAAUUAUAGAAGGAAAAAUCAAUGGAAAAAGGUUUCGAGAAAAUAAUUUAAUACUUUAUGGAGUAUUUGUGUAAUUUUUGGAACUACAAAGGGUUUAGUAAAAGCACAAGUUUUAGUGUAAAUAACUCUGAAAUGUAUCCCCAUAAAAAAAAUUAUAAAAAAUUAAAAAAUUAAAAAAACUAUGAAAUGUAUAGUACAGUCCCGAUCUCUUGGACCACAGGAGUCCAAGAGAUUGUGGUCACCCACCGUUGGAUAUUAAUCCAAUGGUUCAAAAUGAUAUAUAUAAAUGCAAUAUGACAUAAAUGAUUAUUACCCGAUUCAAGUCAACCGUUGAAUUUACAUCUAACGGUGAGUGACCAUAACUCUCUUGGACUACAGGGGUCCAAGAGAUCAGGACUGAUGUAUAGUAUACCCGUAAGAUUUUAUUCUUCUAUUUUUGUACAUUAAAUACUUGUUUAUCCUUUUUAUAUUUGAAUCUGUUGAGUAAAUUGCCUCAUUAAUUUUUUAUUAACUUUUUUUAAUGUGAGCGUGUCAUUGUUAGCAAAUAAUACCCUAUGAAUUUGAAUGACUUUAUACACUUGAGCCCCAAGUAAUAGACUUUAAACAAACGAUUGUGAUUUUGGAUGGGGGAACCUCCUAAGAGAGUUCUUUUCUAUCCCUCAGACUGGUGAGGACUUCACAAUUUAUCUAGACAAAAAUGGUAAGUAAAGCAAAAUACAUAAUUUGUGGUGAAUAUAACAGACUAAUCCAAGCAGAACUGCCUUAAGCACAAAGCAUAAAAUGAAUUGCUAAAUCUAGACGGGUGUCAAAUUGUUGUACUUUGACUUCUACUUAAAAAUACAAUCAAAAUGAUGUUUUAAGGUCAGGCUGGACUGGAUAUUUCUGCACUGAAAUUGCACGUCAAUAUCUUCAACAAACAUAGAUUAGUUGGAAAUCAAUACCAAUGUUGGUAUUGGCAGAGCUAUAAACAAGUUGAGCCAAUAUGUAGGCUGGAAAAGUGAGCAGAACUACAGGCAAGUACCUGUUCUAGUUGGUUGUGUAUGAUGUGGAAGAUUUCUAGACAAUUUUAAGACAUUGAGGUAUCUUUAUAAACUUGUUGAGGUUUUCAUAUGAUGAAAGACCUGACUUCUAUUUGUGUUAUCUUAUUUGCUUUGUAACACCCCGACUCCAAAAUUAAUGUCUAUUUUAAUUGAUUUAAAUUAAAUUACGAAUUUACCCUUGGGGUAGGGGUAAAUUGGUCAUUUUCUUAUCCGGAAGGAUUUUGGGACCACGAAUGGUAUUUUUGGGUAUGUGGUACUGAGACGAAUUCGUAAACACGCGGUAGGCUUGAAUCGGAGCUGUAACGAAAAUGUUACGAUCAAAACAUUAUCAGUGGCAAACUUGUAAAUAUUUCAAAAAAGUUUGAUAAAAAUCAGAUUUUUUCACUUCAGCUCUCUCUCUCUCUCCUCGCACGCACUCGACUCUCUCUCUCCUCAGUCUCUCUCUCUCCCCGACACCAACACACUCUCUCUCUUCGGUUCUCUCUGCACCGGCCACGGCCAGGCACGCCACCAGUCCCGAUCGAUUCGCCUCGAUGUCCCGAUCAAGUCUAGCCGAUUUUCCCCAUCGGAAACCACGAACUCCGGCCACGAGCUCGACUGGUUUGAACCAGAGCUUUCCGAUCGUCGCGCCGCCUCCUCCGCCGCCCAAACCUGGUGAGUGAGGUAUGGUUUCUCAUCCUUUUUCCGAGUUCUAGCUGAUUGUUGUAUAGGUUUGGACCGAUUUGUUGUCUAGAAAAUCGAUUAGAAAACUUAGGUUUUGGCCGGAUUUCAAAGUAAAAUUCCGGCCAGUUGCCGCCCGAAUUGGACCUUCCCUUAGUUGAAUGAAGUGAUCCUGACCUUGAGUAAAAGCUAGGAUAUGAAGGGUGAGCUCGGGUGGAGUUUUUCCGUUAUCGGAAUUACUCUGCACACCCACGAGCUGCCGGCGCCUGUGGCUGCGCGUGGGCGAGGCUGGUAAAGAUGCAAUUUUACCCGAUGAGAUCCUUAUGUUGUCACGAGCGUAUAGAAAUUCACGGAUCUCAAUUCGGAUGUCGUUUGGCUAUCGAACGAAUUUUCGCAUAUUGUGAGUUAUUGGGUUCGAUAGGUUCCGACCAUUGGAUCUUUUUCAAAUUAAAAUAUGUUGUUCUAGGUAUUCCUAGGACCGUAUGGGACUUCACGGAUUAUGAAUCGGGGCCCUGGAUGUUUCGAUUCAAUAAUGCAAAGUUGGCUGGUUAGCGAUAACCGUAAAAAUCGUGAACGAUUCCUAAACCUGUAAUAGGACCUUAGGAUACCUUCUUCAACGUGCACGUAUUGGGAAUUUGGGGAUUUAAGCAUUUAAUUUGUGAUUUCCACUUCGAUGUAAUUUUAUAUUAAUUAAGGUUCGUAUCUCGAAAUAGGUGUUUCGACUGCACGUACUCAGCAAGCAGGACCCUCACGUGGUCAGGCAGCGUGGGAAUAUUUGUGAGUGGACUUUGUUUUCAAUCAAUGCAUGGUUUUAUUGAUGAAGGAUUUUUGCAUAAUGUUUUUAUGGCUUAUUGAAUAUAUUAUAUUCAUGAGAUGAAUUUGAUGUUGUAUAGCGCGUUGGCAAUAUAUUGUGAGUUUGGCAUUUUGGGUAUUGAGAGUGUAUUUUUAUAAGGGUUGUGGGGAAGUAUAUGUAUAUUAUUCUCUAUAGACGAGAUACUUGGGUUGUUGAAGGGUGUUGUGGAAGAACUUGAUUAUGAUGGGUUGUUGAGAGAAGUUGUAUGAUUAUACUAUGUAAGUACCUUCCCCAAGUAUUAGACUUUUCACACGCGGCGUUGGAUGUUCCGGCGUGUAGGAAGAAUAGGUUACCCGUCUCACUCGUGGCGUUGGAUGUUCCGGCGUGUGAGACACUUUCCAUAUGCGGCGUUGGAUGUUCCAGCGUAUGGAAAGACUCUGUAUAGUGUUUAGGGUCAUCACCCAUGGCGUUGGAUGUUCCGGUGUGUGAUGAUCCAGUCUGCGCACGUAGGACUUAGUUUGGGAGCCACACAUGGCGUUGGAUGUUCCGGUGUGGGAGCUUUAGAGUUUCGUCCCCCGGUUGGACCGCUCAUCCCUAGACGCAGGAUAGCACCUGGAAAUCCUGCGAACUAGUCAAACGAUUCCCUAGUUGGAUUGCUUCCCCGGUACCUAGGUAGUGUGAUGAGUAUAUCGUAUAGCUAGUUAUAGUUAUAUUCUUAUAUAUAUAUAUAUAUAUUUAUAUUUAUAUGUAUAUGUAUAGUUGAGUGAGUGAAGAAUUAGAGUUUUUCAGUGGUUUGGCAAGAGUUGUAAAAUUGAGAGAAUGAGGUUUUUGAAGGAGAUGAUUUGUAUUAUGAAGAGUUUUAAAUGAAUCAUGUUUUGAGUAAUUAAUUUGAAUUGUGAACCUGCAUGACUAGAGCAUUAUUUUUACAUGGUGGGGUUAUUAUAUUAUUUUUAACUGCGAAUUUGGUUUUUGUCCACUCACAUGUUUUCUGUUUUGCGCCCCCCAGCCAGUAGUCGCUCUAGGAAGCGUGCAAGUGGUGUUCGAGGCUCGAACUGUGAAUCUUCCUAGUUAGGAAUUGAGUAAUUUCUUCUACUCAACUGUUCUUGUAAUCUAAAUUCAAUAGAUGCUCUAUUAUCGCCCAUGGUAGAUUUUACUUGUGAGGCCGGAGGCCAUUUUAGUAUGACUUGUUGAAUUAUGAAAGCAUGCUGCUGGUUGGGAUUUUUAUUUGAUGUGCGUUGCAGGUUGAAAUUUUUUGUUAGGUUUGCUUAAAUUACAGGGGAGACUCUGCCAAAAUUUUUGGUAGAAAGUCUCGAUUUCUUAGUAAGUGGGCCCGGCAUCGGGAAGAUGUCGGAACAAAGACGGGGUCCGCUUCGGUUUCCAGGAAAUUCCGGGGCAGGUCCUGUCAUGCUGAACCAAAUUUGUAAGAGAAUUCAAUCCAUUAUAAGUUAUGAUUGAAAUACAUUGUUAUAUUGCAAAAAGAAUCUCGUCUUCUUUUUGGCUGUCUGAGAUUUUGUUUGAGUUGGGUUGCUUCCUAUAGAAGAUUGCUUGCUUGCCUUUGAUAAUUGCAAGAUCAUUUGAUCUUUGAUUUCUUUUGAUCAGUCUAGACUGAUUGUUGAGUUUUUGUUUGAUUGGUUGGUUGGUUGGUUGGGUCCCCUCUCCAAUCCAUGCAUUCUUGUAUUUAUAAGAGAAAAAUGAUGAUGAAGAUUGUUAAGCUCAUAAUUUCAUGCAUAUACAUGCCCUAUUUACUCACUCAUUUUGCUUAGUUUCUUAGAAUUUUAGGCCAAUAGAGCGAAAGAGAAUAAUUCAUGCAAUUCAAGCAUGUUAAGGCCAGAUUGGGAUGAAUGGAAGAAGAGCUUAAAGACAAACUCAUUUUGGCUACAGGCCCUCGCCAGUCCAAUUUCGUAAGUCACAUUGCAAGACUUGUUUCAGCAAACUACACAACUCAAAUGAGGCAUACUUCUGCAUGAAAGUUGUUCCAAUGGUUGUCUAUUAUAACAUAUCCAAAAUUCAGCCCUAUUUGAUAAAUCUGGAGUCCGUCACCUAUCAAACACAGAACCAUGCUCAGGAUGGAUUUUGUCAACGUGCCAAAUGACAUGUGGCUGAAAAGAAGACAUUCUGAACUUCAAGUUUGUGGGCUCAAAGUCAUCAUUUGCUUAAGGGUAGCCCAAUUCGUAAGCCUUGAAGUUGCUGGUCAUGCUAACCUAAGGAUGAGCUAAGUGUGCUUGGUCAUAAUGACAUAAGCAUGAGGUGUUAUUGAUUGUGGGGAAGUUAGGUGAAGCAUAUGCAUUUCUUAUAUUUGAGUGGAGUUUUGCAGCAGCCAAAGGGAAUAAAACAAGAUGAAGUGGGAGCUGCAAUACUAAGCCUAAAGAGAAGAAGAACUGUUUUCAAAUGCAAGUGUGUUUUAGGUGAAAUAGGUGUGGUUAGUGAACUUACUUGUAUAAUCUGAUUCACUUAACCCUUAUACCUAUAAAUAGAGAGUCUCCAAAGAGCUAUGUAGUCAAGAAAAUUCAAAUCCAUCAUUUACACUUACAUUGUACACAAAGAGAGGAAGAGUUAAGAGUCACAAAGGGAGAGAAGAGAAAAGGCAGCAGCUGGGAGGCUUUGGCCUCCUGGCAGCCAUGGAGAUAAAGCUUUUCCAUCUCUAGCAUGAUGUCCCUAUCUUUUUCUCCUCCCUUUGUCUUUUAUUUUCUUCUUGUAUUUCCUUAGCUUUACUUUGUUUUUCUGUCAUUAGUUAAUAAACAUCUUGCUAGUCUUGUAUCAUGGUUUGAGUUUAUAAAGUUUGAUUUCAUUCAUGAAUUCUUCUUCACUGUUUUAAUGGAGCUAUUUUGCAUCCUUUGAUUGAUCACCUGAGGAUUUAUGCAUUUUGCUCUUGUUGGUUGAUUGAUCACCUGAGGAUUUAUGCAUUUUGCUCUUGUUGGGAAGGUUUGGGGAUCAUCUUCAUUCCAUCCAUUAGCAACUCAUAUGAUUUGGUUUCCAGGACGCCUAAUGUAAACACAAUGCUUUGGGGUCCUUGUGAUGUUCAAUGCAAUUUGAUCCAAACUGUUUAGGCCAAAAUUCUACCCGUCAUCCCAUUUUUGUCGAGAGGCCCAUGAACCAAACAUUUGGGCUUUCAUCUAUAGGAAUCAUAAGGAAAAAAACCAAGACACUAGAAAAGCCCAGAUCCUUUUGAACAAAUUACAAAAGCAGCCAUGAUCUGAAAAGAAUAAACUACUAUUAUUUACAAUUAAAGAGCCGAUACACACAGUGUUGGAUAAAUGCCCAACUUCUGAGAAGAUCUCACCACUUGGUCUCUAUCCCAAAAAGCCAAAACAGCAUAUCUUUUUCUCAAGGAAGCGCCAGCGUGAAUUUCUGACUUUGAAAAAGUCAAAAUUUUCAACUAUCACAGAGGAGUUGAUAAGGAGUUAAUGAAGGCAGGUUUUACAGGAAGACUUCUCCAUUGUUUGCAGCCAAAGAAAGAAGAUCAAAAUCCCUUUUUAUAAACAGAGAAACUCUACACUAAAGCAGGUGACCUUUCCAAGAGAUAAGCAGACUACAUUCUCAAGAGAUAAGUAGGGAGCAAGGGAGUUGUUCAACAGGAAAAGCAAACUGACCAUCAUGACAAAUUGUGUAAUAACCCAAACCUUAAUUAAUAUUUAAUUAUUAUUUUAUUAGAAGGAAAUACAAUUUUGCCCUUGGAAUAAUUUAUUAAAGAAAAGUUAACUUUUUGACAGAGAAAGAAUUUGACAAUUCCACACACACCGUUGCGUAAAGCGCGACGAAAUGAGUCCGUAGACACGUAGCAAGCUUAAAUCGGAGCUUUAACGAAGAAAAUAUGGUCAAAAUACGUAGAGGGGCAAAAUGAUAAUUUGCAAAGUCAGAAUUUUAAAACCCCAAUUCUCUCUCUAUCACGAUCUCUUCUUCCCCUGGUUCGAAAACCCCCCAGCCGAACCUCCAUAACUACCCAGCCACUGCCACACCUCGCCCCGACCCACCAGACUGGACCUAAUCGCACCAGCGUCAGCUCCGCCGCCAAGCCCGACCUUCCCUGCCACUCGGCUGUCACGGUUUCGUAGGAAAAAUUGAAAAUUUCAUCCGGUUUAGUUUGAAAUUUCACAGCCGUCGAUCUCCGUAUUCUGACCACCAAAUUGGACGAUAAAGGUAUGGACCCUUACCUAUUUUUCAUGACUUAGCUGUUGGUUGGGUAGGAUUGAACGAUUUCUAGCCUAGGUAGAUCAAACCACAAUCCAAAGCUCGGUCGGUUUUGAGAUUGAAAUUUCGGCCACUUUCGGCUAGUUUUUGGGGUACGUCCAAGAACAAAAGUGGUUCCAAAUAGGUUGUUUUACAUAGAGUAGGAGUUUGGGCCGGUGGUUUGGAGUUUUUCCGACUGCCAGAAAUUUAUCAAGCCACCCACUCACUGCCGGCGCGUGUGGCGGAGCGUGGGCAGUUUAGUGGAGACCACAUUCAGUCCUAGAAUGAUCCUCGUGUUGUCAUGAGCGCGUAGGAAUUCGCAGAUCUCAAUUCGGAUACCGUUUGAGCCUCGAACGGAUUUUGCAUAUUGUAUGAUUUCCGGGUUCAAUACAAUUGAGCCGUUGGAUCGUAAUCAUUUUCAGAUAUCUUAAUCUACACAAUUCCAGGAUCGUUUAGGAUUUGACGGAUCGUGAAUCGGAGUUCCCAAUACUCCAAAAUCGCGAACCCUAGGGCUAGGGUUUUAGAAAUCAUUCGAUUGUAUGAUCGUGAUCAAUCCGACCGUCCGAUCGAGAUCAAACUCUCAGGACAUGUGUCCUGGGUAUAUUGGAACUUCUAGAGGCUUAUGGAUCAUAAUUUUGUGGUCGAACGUGCACAGGGUCUGGCUCGGAUUCCAAAAUGGAAUUUGGGUCGGGUCCUAUCCAAUUGUGUCUUUCCUUCUUUACAAGGAACAAAUAGAGAACAAAAGGAGUUGAUUUUCUUUUUGGGAAAAGCAAGGAAAAGAUCACCAUGGGAACUUAUUAUUGAUGGUUCUUCUCUGCCAGAAUAGAUAGCUUCCCCUUUUUGUGGCAUUUAAAAAGAAAGAUCUUUUGAAAAGAUUUGCCGUCCAUUAUUCAAAGAUUAAAAACCUUACUCCAGCAUUUCCUAUAAAAUAAGAGAGAGGGUGAACAGAUGAAGGACAGCCUAAAAAUCAAUCAAGAUAAAAACUCUCAAAGUCAUAACUGACAAACUCAAAAUGAUCAAUUGAUCUUAAAAGCCUUCAAACACUGAAGUGACCAAAGCUCAUCGAGCCACAAGAAACAAAUCAACUAUAAUUCAAAUCUCUGUUUUCGGUUCAGUCAGAGAAACUGUUUUACAAAGCGAGAUUUCUCUUGUUACAAAUUUGGUUCAGCACAAAGCCAAGUCAAGCAGAGUCAGGAUUUUUCACAAAUAUGAAAACCUCAACAAAUUUACAGAAAGCCUUGGUCAAGCAGGACAGGCACCAUAGUGCAGUUCCAGCUCAGUGACCAUCAAUCGAGCCACUUUUGUUCUCUUCAGACUGGAGAUGCCUCAAUUCAACCCUUUCAACAAGCCUUCCAUGGCUCGAAAUAAAUUGAAGCUCUGCCAAACUCAAAUGUCGGUAUCCAUUUCCAGCUAAAACUCAUCAGUUGAAGGUGUUGACGAUCCAAUCCAACACAGACACAUCCAAUCCAGCCCAGUUCAGAAGCAGCUACCCAGGCAGAAAUUGAAGUCGAACGCUCUGCUGUCUAUUCUGGAGUUGGCUUUUUCUCUUUCUGAGCUUUGUAAUGAGCAGUUCUGCCUAAACAGUUUACUUUCUUUUCAUUUAUUCUGGCCAAAACUACCAAUUUUGUACUGUGAAAAAUUAUGAAGUUCUCACCAGUCUGAGGCGAGAAAAGAACUUAUUUGAGAGAUAUUCCUCACCCAAAUUCACAAUUGCUUGUUUAAAAGUCAGUAACUUGGGGCGCAAGUUAUCUAUUUUUUAGAAGUCUGCUAGGGUUUUGAACUGCUAGCAGUGGCACGCUCACGCACAAAAGAAAGUUGAUUUGUUAACCACUAAUGGUUGUCAAGCCAAUGGGGAACUUUACCAUACCAUCACAGGAUUAAAAUCAAAACGGGUGAACACAAACACCAUGGACUUAUUUGUGAGGAUCGUCAUGAUUGAAUCAAUUUUUUUACUUGCUGCCAUAACGUGAUUAGAACAAUUAGGGUGGAUUCUAAAACCUCACCAUCUUGUCUUAGUUCUUUUCUUUCUUCUUCUUUUGUGUUCUUUUGUGUUCUUUUGUUUUCAUUUCUGUUUUGUGUAGGAAAACUGAAUUGGAUCAUUCAAUCAUCAAUCCCUGUGAAAUUGACCUUGCACUUACAUAUGCUAAACUACCAACGACUCGUGCACUUGCGAGUAUCACAAGUUGAGGAUGCAGCUGAAUCCAUUAUGGUGCAGCGUUGAAUCGACGCAACAAAGAUAUGGAUUUUUUUUUUUAAAAUUUUGGACUAGCCCCCAUUUCAUGCAAAAGUGGCAAAAGUUUUGUCAUUCCAAUGCAUUGAUCGUUUUUGGCACCUGCUCAUCAAUACUCCUGAAUGUCUCCUAAUCAUUCCUUUUGCAACAACUAGACUGAAGCAAGCAAUAAUUUCUAGAUUCCUCCAAUGUUGGUACCAUAAAUAACCAAAUACUCUUGGAAAAGAAAAAAUCCGAUGAUCAUAUAAUAAAUAGCCGUGAUUCUCAAGCAAGUCUAACUUUUACUUUUCAACUUUUAAGGUCAUCAAUUUUCCUUGUAGUUUAGUCACGAACGAUGAGGAAAUAUCCUUAAAAACUUUAACAGCUAAGAAAUUGUGAAUUUUGGACUGAAACUAAUUGAAAUAAUUUGAUUCUUGGAUUAAAUCACCACUUGUGGUAAUUCAUUUACCAAUUUAUCAAAAAAUCAUGAAUUAGUUAAAUCCCCCUUUGGCUAAAUAGUAAGGACUAGUCACCAUUUUUGAUAAACACAGCCCAACGUUUUGUAAAAUGAACCCAAUAAACCAUUUUGGCUAGCUCGUAGGAUUUAAGCCCAAACAAUACCUGUUCGGCUAGAAUUUUAAAAAAAACAAAUUAUUUUAUUAUUAUUCUAUUUUUGAUAAGAUUCUAGAAAUUUGUCUAAUCUCAUACCGGAUGUUUUGGGGGCACUUUUUUAUGCCAUGCGUUCUCUGAUGUGCAUUCAGGGGCUUAAUAAAAUAGUCUCACUUCGUCAUCUUUUUAUCGCACAAACACGUAUUUGCACAUCAAAAUUCAACACUUCGGUAUUUCUCUUCCAAUUUCAACCAUAAUUAGUAUUGUCUCAAAAUGACUUCAAACAUGACUCCAAAAGGCAUCGAUGCAUAGUGACUUGGAACACAAUCCUAAAACGUGUUAGUUGCUUGAUCCGAUCAUCAAUUUCAUUCAGAGUGACGAUUUUUUUUUUUUUCAACAACUCUUCUACAACAUUUGACCAUUUUUUUCUUGUUGAAAGUGACAAGUUUUGUCGACUUACAAAAAAAACUAUGCCAAAAUGGUAAUACUAAAGUCCUUAUCUAACCCCUAUAUCUCUUCAAUUGAGAGAUUUUUGGGGUUGACCCUUGUAGGAAGCAAGUGUUGGGUUCUUCAAAGACUAGGUAGAUAGAUAAUUCAAAAUUUUACCCAAUUUCUUAGGAUUUGGAUUUCAGCAAAGUGUUUGAUAGCAUUCUUGCCCUCCACGAAUGCUGGUCUAAAGAAUUUUAAUCGGGGGAAAGAAAACCCACACUCCAACAAAUAUUGUGUUUGAACAUUAAAGACUAAAAAAAUGUGUUUUAGCUAUAAUAUAGAAGAAGCCAGAGAAAAAAAAUUUAGCCCAGCCCUAUAUAAAUUCCUUUAUUCCGCCCUUGUUUGGGUGGGAUGAGAAAAUUUGUGUUUGAAAGGGGGAAUGGAGGAAGGGCCUGUAAAGAGGGAAGGGGGAUUGGAUUUCAAGGUGAGCGGGGUUAGUUGGAGCCACCGGAGGUGCACAGAUGAUGGGGUAAGGUGAUAUUUUUUUUAUUUUCAAUUUUAUUUUUUUAUAAUGAAUUUUCUAUUUUUAAAAUACCCUUGAAAAUGGAAAGACUAAAAUACCCUUAAAUAUAGAUGGAAAGUUGGUGUUAAAGUGAGAUGACAAAUCAUGAAUUUUGAAAAAUUAAGAUGUCAUUUCUCUUAAUUUUUUCUUUAAAAUGACAACUUGAUUUCAAGAUAUAAGUUCAUGUGACAUUUUAAAAAAUAAUAAUAAUAAAUUGCAUAACAUCAGAUUUUUUUUUUUUUUAUUUAAUGCAAAAAAAGGGAAAUUACAAGCAAAAAUCACGCGAACACGCAGUCCCAAACAAGUUGAAAAAGAAAGGAAUCGGACAAUUCAAAGGCAGACCCGCAUCCCAUAACUCUAUGACUAUUGCACCAAGUAAAAGGAAUGCCAGCAGCACAAGAGAAAUAAUUUCACCAUCAUUAAUAAAGCCAUUAAAAUCUGCCAAAGCAGACAUCAAAUGAGUGUAACCACCUAAUUUCUCACUAGGGGCGCAUAUAUUAUUAAAGUCCCCCAUAAGAAUCCAAGCUUCAGAAGCCGCAUGUUUGAGGCCAAGGAUAUCAAUCCACAGCUGAUGUUGUUUUUGUUUCUAGGGAUAAGCAUAGACAAAAGUAGCUUUCCAAUUUUUUUGGUCAAUAAGAUCUUGAAUGUGGCAGUGAAUGAAACGCUCAUGGGAAUCUAAAAUGGUUAUAUUAAUAAAAGAAGGAUUCCACAAUAAGAAUAUCCAUCCACAAUGACCAAGGGCAUGGAUACAAAAGAAACCAUCAAAACCAAGCCUCUGAGCAAUAACCUCAGCUCAACCCUAGAGGCUCUGGAAUCCAAAAUAUAGAAAACAUUCAAACUAGACGUACUAAUAUAAAAAAGGGCUUGCAAAAUAAAGCCAGGCCAACCACUGCCUUGGCUAUUCCAGAAUAACAUCUUCAUGGAUUGGGGCUAGGGGUGUUACCAACCAAGGGUUCAGUCUCCCUCAGAUACUCUCCAUGCAUCUCAACACUUGGAGCAUAAUUCUCUUCCACUUCCACCUCAUCACGAGUUCUCUUCUUAGGACUCUUGUAAGCGAAACCAGUGAAGGCACUGCUGCCUUCUUGGGAAUGAGCAGGGGCAAUCACAACAGCCCUACCCUUCCCCUUGCUAAUAUGGUCAACUGGAGAAAACUUAACCCCAACAUCACGAGACCCACCUCCUUCAGUAAAUUUGAUUCCCUUAGCAACUUCUUUAAAAGUUCUCCUAUCCCUUUCUUGCAUUUUGGCUUUGCCUUUACGGUUAGCCACAACCGUCCACCCUGGGUCCUAUACCUCAGUGGGCACCUUCUCACCCUGGUCAGAAUUUUCCUCUGCAAAAUAGUCCACAGUUAUAGGCUGUGGGAACACCAGUAUGACAUCAUCAGCUAGUUUUUGUUGCUCUUCAAACUCAAGGACUCAUUCCCUAAGGAACACAUUAGGUUCGUUCUCUAAUAUUUCAACCUGCAUGGCCACAUAUCUUUCCGGCUAAGGAGUGGGAAACCUUUCUCUUGUUACAUGAAUCCAAUUUUCAUUUCACCUGGGAAAAGCCAUCAGAAAGCUUUUGUUUGAAAUUUUGAUAGGGCAAAUGUGAUCGCGCUCCAUCUUCUGGCUACAAUAGAAACAGAUCGCAAAAAGGGCUUCAUAGCUAACAAAUAUUAUGGUUUCCUGGGGAUGCUCACCCAGAACUAGGCAUCUUUUUAGGGGCCUAGUUAGGUCUAACACAAGGUGAGCUCUAACAAACAUAAUCUGUUUACCCUCUGUAGACUGCAGGUCCACACUAAUAGGAUCUCCAAGGAUAGAGACCAAAUCAUAGAGAACCUCAGGGUCUUUGUAAUGGAGGGGCAGAAAGGGAAUUCUGACCCAGCCCACAAUGGAUGUCACAACAGCAUAAAAGGGUGAGAAAUCUGGGGUCCAGCGCUGCAGGUUAAAAAUCUGACCUUGGACAAACCAGGGUCUGUUAUCCAAAACGAAAAAAACAUCAACUUCAGCAUUGAACUCCACCUUAUACCAGUCUCGACCAAUAUGGUCAAUAGAGACCUCACCCUGCAGGUUCUUCCACUCACUCUUGAGCCUAUGCCUGAUAACUCUGCUAUUCACAGGAACUCCAAAGACUUUCCCUACCAAGCAGAAAGUCUCAUUGAGUUUGGACACUAGACGCAAGAGCAGAGGUGGAGACUUUGGUUUCAUUUCUUUCAAUCCUAAAGGUAAAUAUGCCCUUGUGUAACACAGAGGGUUCCACAGAAGACCUACUCCCCAAUCUGGGAGAAGACGUCGGACUCAAACUACGGGAUUUCGCCCGUGAAGAGCUAGCAUUAAGUUGAGCACUCAUGGUUGGAUGAGAGGAAAGUGAGCAAGGGCAACAGGUAUUAAGAGGAAAUUUAGAAGGUGAGAGUACGCGGUGGAGAUAUCUGGUUUUAAUUUUCUUAUAAAUAGCCAGUAUGAAGCUCUCAAAAUGAUUACAAACAUAUCCAAACCUCCAAUGCAUGCAAAGAUGAAGAAAGGGGAAAGAAGUUAUCUGACCAGAGUUGCUAAAAUCAGCAUCGAGCACCUCCCAAAUCAUCAGCAUCAAAAGGGGUUUCCAAUUUCUGGGGUAAUGAUUUAGUCUGAGACGAUCCUGGCCAUUAGAUUGAAAAAAGAAUGCAAGAUUAGAGUGAAUGAAAUUAAUGCAAGAUAGAGGACGAAGCAAAUUGCAAAAAUUGCACUUCCCAAAGGGAGUUCAUCAGCUGAUGCAUCGUAAAUCUCAAACGACUUCUUUUUAGCGCCACCUUGUGGUUUGGAUGAUGGAUCAACAAUCAUUUCGCAACCCAAUCACGGCAAAAGCUUUGGGGAGAAGAACCGAUUCAAAGUCUUCCCAAUACAAACAACCAUAGCUUCAGACCAACUUUUAGAUGUAAUAAUUGAACCCGCAAGCUUCACUUGAUCAUCCCUUUGAGCUUUUUGUCUUGCCUUUUUCUUCCUUCUUUUCCAAUUUCCCACCCUCUCAAGGACUGCCCUAAUCCCCUUUUUGCUCUCGUUCUUCAUUUUUCUGAAUUAAUUCAAUCAAUUCAAAAAAUUCAUUUCCAGGCACUUAUUUUUUCAUGGCUUGGGGGGCAAUGAACUAAGAAUCAAUCCUUGAAAACUAUAAACCAAGUAAAGAAUAAACAAGGCCUCUUUUUAUAUUUUGGCGAACGAAGAGAAGUACAUUGAACAUAAAUUUAUUCCAAAAAAACAGUGAAAUUGUUCCUUGACCUCCCUCUUGAGAUCCACACAUCUUUGCACAUCUAUUAGUGCGGGAUAGAUUCAUCCUAAAGACAACAAUUGCCAAACCACCCUACUUUGCAACUCCAUCAGAGCCGAGUUUUAUGUCCCCUGAAUUCCCAAUUCCUUAAGCAUUGCAGAUAUCGCAUUCCUAAUCGUUAAGGUCUCGGUAAAAAAGCUAACACAAGAGAAGACAAUGAGAAAAUGAUGCUUAUCGAGUCCUUCGAUGCCAUGUUGACAUGAUUACAUAUGAAUCUAAUCAAUCAUUGACACUGAAGUAGUUCCUAUAAACCAACCGUGGCCGCUUAAGUAGGCUAGCUGCAUCUCAGAGGACAAUAACUCAAAGAGCAAGGGAUAAAGGAUUGAGAGUCAUUCUUAUCUUUUGAAAAAUGGACAGAAAUUAGCUUCUUCCACUCCUCAACCAAAAUACAAUACAUUGUACCCUAAUAGAAGCAUUAUAUGCGCACAUUCUACAAAAUCAACUUUCAAGGGUAACCAAAGUCGGGAACCAUAAACAGAAGAAAUUCUAGCGACUCUACGGCAGGCAUUUGUUCUAAUAAGAAAGCAUAUAUAAAUCUAAUUAAAAACAGGUAGGCUGCCGAGUAGAAGAAUAAAAAACUGAAUUUACUUCCUGCAAAAUUUUAGUAAGAUGUGGGAUACAAUUUAAACCUUACUUUAAAGACAAUUUCUAGGGUAGAGGACAGCAUUAUAGUAUUGUGCCAAAUGCAAUCUAAUGCAUAUGAGUGAUGCAGCAUCAGGUGGCUAAAAUAAUUACAUCCUCACCCGUUUCAACAUAUCAGAUCAGACAGACUGGAUAUCUACCUUCCCUUGAUACACACUUAACAAUUCAGGUACUUCGCCAAGAUAUCUGUUCACAAAAAUCUCCAAGAACUGCUUCUCUGUUCGUUUCAGCAGAGAACCCAGAUUCAAGUUCUCAUUUAUGAAACCUUUCAACAACAGAACUUUAACAACAGAGCACCUUGGGAUAAGUCUCCUCUCCAAACUGAGACUGAGGACCACAGGAUAUUUGGCAAUCAUUCCUGACGACCAUCCCAUCUUGUUCACUAAAAGAUCCAUUGCUUGCAUAAGUUUCUUCUCCGAGACAAUCAUACACUGCGGGUUCUUCCUGAAGGCAGAGAGAAAAUCACCCUCAGACCAACCCCAUGUCUUAAGAACUUCGCGACUUCUACUCCAUACCAACUUAUUCUUACCGCACAAUGCACACAGGGCAUUCACUGAAGUUGAUUUUUCUAGAUUAAAUCCCAUUUCCUUAACCUCACCCACAAGUUGACCAAAGUUUUCAGCAUUUGCCAUCAAAACACGGGUACCACGAUUUAGCAAAGAAGAAAUGCAUGGUUGAGGCAUGCCCAAUUCUCUCAAAAGCCCAAUAUUUGGCACCACAUGCUUGCAGUGACCUUCCAAGAAAAUCCAUGAGUUGCGUUUUAAAACAGCAACAACAUUUUUCUCAGAGAGCAUACUCCUGAGGAAGUUAUAAGUGGGCAAAAUCCGAUUUCUCAAGCUGGCUGACAAAAGGUGUGGAUUAAAAGCCAGAGUUUUUGCAAAGUCCACUUUUGAAAUUUCAAGAGAGCUGAAAAACUCAAGCUUUGGCAAAAGGGUUUUCUCAGGAUCAGCUGAAAGAAGUUGUGGAUGUGACCUAAUAAGCUUUGAUAUCUGGGUUUGAGAUGCUCCAUGGUUUCUCAGAAGCUCUAAAACGGAGUCUGCUCUUUCUGGUGACUGCAACUUGACCCACUUAGAAGCUAAAAUCGCUCCUUCUGGGGACAAUCCACAAGUGUUUAUGAGGUAAGUGACUGUGAAAUUGUGUUGGUUUUCUGAGAUUUCAGAGGUGAUGUGUCUGCAGAGCAACUGACUCUGAAGAGAAAAAUGUGAGGGUUUUGGAUCUCCAACCAACACUCUGUUUGUUUUGGAAGCAAAUGUACAAGAAAAUAUUGAGUGAACCAAUCUGAAAGUCUUCAAAUUGCAGAGUUGAAUCAUGUUAGAG
Molecule: long non-coding RNA, 37814 nt
Filed under: Prunus persica (peach)
Lineage: Eukaryota; Viridiplantae; Streptophyta; Magnoliopsida; Rosales; Rosaceae
Description: long non-coding RNA (PPER_LNC001823)
Source: RNAcentral